GGCUCAGAAAGACGCUGGCGGCUUGUCCAAUGCAUGCAAGUCGCACGCGCCUCCUUCGGGAGGUGAGUGGCGCACGGCUGAUUAGCACGUACGAACCAACCCCGGGGUGGGGGAUAACGCGCCGAAAGGCGUGCUAAUCCCGCAUACGGUCGCAAGACGAAAGCCGCAAGGCGCCCUGGGACGGGCGUGCGGCCCAUCAUGUUGUUGGCGGGGUAAUGGCCCACCAAGCCACUGACGGGUAGCUGGUCUGUGAGGACGACCAGCCAGACUGGGACUGCGACACGGCCCAAACUCCUACGGGAGGCAGCAGUGGG
This 314-nucleotide ribosomal RNA is filed under the name uncultured Chloroflexota bacterium. RNAcentral describes it as "bacterial SSU rRNA". It matches the Rfam family "Bacterial small subunit ribosomal RNA", at positions 21 to 358 of the family's 1533-position model. Lineage: Bacteria; Bacillati; Chloroflexota. The record is from RNAcentral.